GACAGAGGAUGCAAGCGUUAUCCGGAAUGAUUGGGCGUAAAGCGUCUGUAGGUGGCUUUUCAAGUCCGCCGUCAAAUCCCAGGGCUCAACCCUGGACAGGCGGUGGAAACUACCAAGCUGGAGUACGGUAGGGGAGUGUGGAAUUCCCGGUGUAGCGGUGAAAUGCGCAGAUAUCGGGAGGAACACCAGUAGCGAAGGCGGCACUCUGGGCCGGUACUGACGCUGAGGAGCGAAAGCGUGGGGAGCGAACAGG
Molecule: ribosomal RNA, 253 nt
Filed under: uncultured bacterium
Lineage: Bacteria
Description: partial 16S ribosomal RNA
Rfam family: Bacterial small subunit ribosomal RNA
Source: RNAcentral